UACGAAGGGGGCUAGCGUUGUUCGGAUUUACUGGGCGUAAAGCGCACGUAGGCGGAUCGUUAAGUCGGGGGUGAAAUCCUGGAGCUCAACUCCAGAACUGCCUUCGAUACUGGCGAUCUUGAGUCCGGAAGAGGUGAGUGGAACUCCUAGUGUAGAGGUGGAAUUCGUAGAUAUUCGCAAGAACACCAGUGGCGAAGGCGGCUCACUGGCCCGAUACUGACGCUGAGGCACGAAAGCGUGGGGAGCAAACAGG
RNAcentral lists this ribosomal RNA (253 nucleotides) under uncultured bacterium. RNAcentral describes it as "partial 16S ribosomal RNA". It matches the Rfam family "Bacterial small subunit ribosomal RNA", at positions 524 to 776 of the family's 1533-position model. The record is from RNAcentral.